UACGUAGGAUCCAAGCGUUAUCCGGAAUCACUGGGCGUAAAGCGUGCGUAGGCGGCGCGUUAAGUGAGAUGCGAAAUCUGGUGGCUCAACCAUCUAGACUGUGUCUCAUACUGGCGUGCUAGAGGACGGCAGAGGCAAGUGGAAUUACCGGUGUAGCAGUGAAAUGCGUAGAUAUCGGUAGGAACACCAAUGGCGAAGGCAGCUUGCUGGGCCGGCCCUGACGCUGAGGUACGAAAGCGUGGGGAGCAAACGGG
Molecule: ribosomal RNA, 254 nt
Filed under: uncultured bacterium
Lineage: Bacteria
Description: partial 16S ribosomal RNA
Rfam family: Bacterial small subunit ribosomal RNA
Source: RNAcentral